This 2904-nucleotide ribosomal RNA is filed under the name Escherichia coli. RNAcentral describes it as "23S ribosomal RNA". It matches the Rfam family "Bacterial large subunit ribosomal RNA". Lineage: Bacteria; Pseudomonadati; Pseudomonadota; Gammaproteobacteria; Enterobacterales; Enterobacteriaceae. The record is from RNAcentral.
UUAAGCGACUAAGCGUACACGGUGGAUGCCCUGGCAGUCAGAGGCGAUGAAGGACGUGCUAAUCUGCGAUAAGCGUCGGUAAGGUGAUAUGAACCGUUAUAACCGGCGAUUUCCGAAUGGGGAAACCCAGUGUGUUUCGACACACUAUCAUUAACUGAAUCCAUAGGUUAAUGAGGCGAACCGGGGGAACUGAAACAUCUAAGUACCCCGAGGAAAAGAAAUCAACCGAGAUUCCCCCAGUAGCGGCGAGCGAACGGGGAGCAGCCCAGAGCCUGAAUCAGUGUGUGUGUUAGUGGAAGCGUCUGGAAAGGCGCGCGAUACAGGGUGACAGCCCCGUACACAAAAAUGCACAUGCUGUGAGCUCGAUGAGUAGGGCGGGACACGUGGUAUCCUGUCUGAAUAUGGGGGGACCAUCCUCCAAGGCUAAAUACUCCUGACUGACCGAUAGUGAACCAGUACCGUGAGGGAAAGGCGAAAAGAACCCCGGCGAGGGGAGUGAAAAAGAACCUGAAACCGUGUACGUACAAGCAGUGGGAGCCUCUCUUUAUGGGGGGUGACUGCGUACCUUUUGUAUAAUGGGUCAGCGACUUAUAUUCUGUAGCAAGGUUAACCGAAUAGGGGAGCCGAAGGGAAACCGAGUCUUAACUGGGCGUUAAGUUGCAGGGUAUAGACCCGAAACCCGGUGAUCUAGCCAUGGGCAGGUUGAAGGUUGGGUAACACUAACUGGAGGACCGAACCGACUAAUGUUGAAAAAUUAGCGGAUGACUUGUGGCUGGGGGUGAAAGGCCAAUCAAACCGGGAGAUAGCUGGUUCUCCCCGAAAGCUAUUUAGGUAGCGCCUCGUGAAUUCAUCUCCGGGGGUAGAGCACUGUUUCGGCAAGGGGGUCAUCCCGACUUACCAACCCGAUGCAAACUGCGAAUACCGGAGAAUGUUAUCACGGGAGACACACGGCGGGUGCUAACGUCCGUCGUGAAGAGGGAAACAACCCAGACCGCCAGCUAAGGUCCCAAAGUCAUGGUUAAGUGGGAAACGAUGUGGGAAGGCCCAGACAGCCAGGAUGUUGGCUUAGAAGCAGCCAUCAUUUAAAGAAAGCGUAAUAGCUCACUGGUCGAGUCGGCCUGCGCGGAAGAUGUAACGGGGCUAAACCAUGCACCGAAGCUGCGGCAGCGACGCUGAUGCGUUGUUGGGUAGGGGAGCGUUCUGUAAGCCUGCGAAGGUGUGCUGUGAGGCAUGCUGGAGGUAUCAGAAGUGCGAAUGCUGACAUAAGUAACGAUAAAGCGGGUGAAAAGCCCGCUCGCCGGAAGACCAAGGGUUCCUGUCCAACGUUAAUCGGGGCAGGGUGAGUCGACCCCUAAGGCGAGGCCGAAAGGCGUAGUCGAUGGGAAACAGGUUAAUAUUCCUGUACUUGGUGUUACUGCGAAGGGGGGACGGAGAAGGCUAUGUUGGCCGGGCGACGGUUGUCCCGGUUUAAGCGUGUAGGCUGGUUUUCCAGGCAAAUCCGGAAAAUCAAGGCUGAGGCGUGAUGACGAGGCACUACGGUGCUGAAGCAACAAAUGCCCUGCUUCCAGGAAAAGCCUCUAAGCAUCAGGUAACAUCAAAUCGUACCCCAAACCGACACAGGUGGUCAGGUAGAGAAUACCAAGGCGCUUGAGAGAACUCGGGUGAAGGAACUAGGCAAAAUGGUGCCGUAACUUCGGGAGAAGGCACGCUGAUAUGUAGGUGAAGUCCCUCGCGGAUGGAGCUGAAAUCAGUCGAAGAUACCAGCUGGCUGCAACUGUUUAUUAAAAACACAGCACUGUGCAAACACGAAAGUGGACGUAUACGGUGUGACGCCUGCCCGGUGCCGGAAGGUUAAUUGAUGGGGUUAGCGCAAGCGAAGCUCUUGAUCGAAGCCCCGGUAAACGGCGGCCGUAACUAUAACGGUCCUAAGGUAGCGAAAUUCCUUGUCGGGUAAGUUCCGACCUGCACGAAUGGCGUAAUGAUGGCCAGGCUGUCUCCACCCGAGACUCAGUGAAAUUGAACUCGCUGUGAAGAUGCAGUGUACCCGCGGCAAGACGGAAAGACCCCGUGAACCUUUACUAUAGCUUGACACUGAACAUUGAGCCUUGAUGUGUAGGAUAGGUGGGAGGCUUUGAAGUGUGGACGCCAGUCUGCAUGGAGCCGACCUUGAAAUACCACCCUUUAAUGUUUGAUGUUCUAACGUGGACCCGUAAUCCGGGUUGCGGACAGUGUCUGGUGGGUAGUUUGACUGGGGCGGUCUCCUCCUAAAGAGUAACGGAGGAGCACGAAGGUUGGCUAAUCCUGGUCGGACAUCAGGAGGUUAGUGCAAUGGCAUAAGCCAGCUUGACUGCGAGCGUGACGGCGCGAGCAGGUGCGAAAGCAGGUCAUAGUGAUCCGGUGGUUCUGAAUGGAAGGGCCAUCGCUCAACGGAUAAAAGGUACUCCGGGGAUAACAGGCUGAUACCGCCCAAGAGUUCAUAUCGACGGCGGUGUUUGGCACCUCGAUGUCGGCUCAUCACAUCCUGGGGCUGAAGUAGGUCCCAAGGGUAUGGCUGUUCGCCAUUUAAAGUGGUACGCGAGCUGGGUUUAGAACGUCGUGAGACAGUUCGGUCCCUAUCUGCCGUGGGCGCUGGAGAACUGAGGGGGGCUGCUCCUAGUACGAGAGGACCGGAGUGGACGCAUCACUGGUGUUCGGGUUGUCAUGCCAAUGGCACUGCCCGGUAGCUAAAUGCGGAAGAGAUAAGUGCUGAAAGCAUCUAAGCACGAAACUUGCCCCGAGAUGAGUUCUCCCUGACCCUUUAAGGGUCCUGAAGGAACGUUGAAGACGACGACGUUGAUAGGCCGGGUGUGUAAGCGCAGCGAUGCGUUGAGCUAACCGGUACUAAUGAACCGUGAGGCUUAACCU